CCGACGGUGAGGGACGAAAGCUGGGGGAGCAAACCGGAUUAGAUACCCGGGUAGUCCCAGCUGUAAACGAUGCGCGUUAGGUGUGUCAGUGACCACGUGUCACUGAUGUGCCGAAGGGAAACCGUGAAACGCGCCGCCUGGGGAGUACGGUCGCAAGGCUGAAACUUAAAGGGAUUGGCGGGGGAGCACCACAACGGGUGGAGCCUGCGGUUUAAUCGGACUCAACGCCGGAAAUCUCACCGGAUAA
RNAcentral lists this ribosomal RNA (247 nucleotides) under uncultured archaeon. RNAcentral describes it as "partial 16S ribosomal RNA". It matches the Rfam family "Archaeal small subunit ribosomal RNA", at positions 691 to 937 of the family's 1478-position model. The record is from RNAcentral.